GGCUCGUCCGCUCAGGGUUAGUCGGGACCUAAGCCGAGGCCGAAAGGCGUAGGCGAUGGACAACAGGUUGAUAUUCCUGUACCACCUCCUCACCAUUUGAGCAAUGGGGGGACGCAGGAGGAUAGGGUAAGCGCGGUAUUGGAUAUCCGCGUCCAAGCAGUUAGGCUGGGAAAUAGGCAAAUCCGUUUCCCAUAAGGCUGAGCUGUGAUGGCGAGCGAAAUAUAGUAGCGAAGUUCCUGAUUCCACACUGCCAAGAAAAGCCUCUAGCGAGGUGAGAGGUGCCCGUACCGCAAACCGACACAGGUAGGCGAGGAGAGAAUCCUAAGGUGAUCGAGAGAACUCUCGUUAAGGAACUCGGCAAAAUGACCCCGUAGCUUCGGGAGAAGGGGUGCUCUGUUAGGGUGCAAGCCCGAGAGAGCCGCAGUGAAUAGGCCCAGGCGACUGUUUAGCAAAAACACAGGUCUCUGCGAAGCCGUAAGGCGAAGUAUAGGGGCUGACGCCUGCCCGGUGCUGGAAGGUUAAGAGGAGCGCUUAGCGUAAGCGAAGGUGCGAAUUGAAGCCCCAGUAAACGGCGGCCGUAACGAUAACGGUCCUAAGGUAGCGAAAUUCCUUGUCGGGUAAGUUCCGACCCGCACGAAAGGCGCAACGAUCUGGGCACUGUCUCAACGAGAGACUCGGUGAAAUUAUAGUACCUGUGAAGAUGCAGGUUACCCGCGACAGGACGGAAAGACCCCGUGGAGCUUUACUGCAGCCUGAUAUUGAAUGUUGGUACAGCUUGUACAGGAUAGGUAGGAGCCUUGGAAACCGGAGCGCCAGCUUCGGUGGAGGCAUCGGUGGGAUACUACCCUGGCUGUAUUGACCUUCUAACCCGCCGCCCUUAUCGGGCGGGGAGACAGUGUCAGGUGGGCAGUUUGACUGGGGCGGUCGCCUCCUAAAAGGUAACGGAGGCGCCCAAAGGUUCCCUCAGAAUGGUUGGAAAUCAUUCGCAGAGUGUAAAGGCACAAGGGAGCUUGACUGCGAGACCUACAAGUCGAGCAGGGACGAAAGUCGGGCUUAGUGAUCCGGUGGUUCCGCAUGGAAGGGCCAUCGCUCAACGGAUAAAAGCUACCCCGGGGAUAACAGGCUUAUCUCCCCCAAGAGUCCACAUCGACGGGGAGGUUUGGCACCUCGAUGUCGGCUCAUCGCAUCCUGGGGCUGUAGUCGGUCCCAAGGGUUGGGCUGUUCGCCCAUUAAAGCGGUACGCGAGCUGGGUUCAGAACGUCGUGAGACAGUUCGGUCCCUAUCCGUCGCGGGCGCAGGAAAUUUGAGAGGAGCUGUCCUUAGUACGAGAGGACCGGGAUGGACGCACCGCUGGUGUACCAGUUGUUCUGCCAAGGGCAUCGCUGGGUAGCUAUGUGCGGACGGGAUAAGUGCUGAAAGCAUCUAAGCAUGAAGCCCCCCUCAAGAUGAGAUUUCCCAUUCCGCAAGGAAGUAAGAUCCCUGAAAGAUGAUCAGGUUGAUAGGUCUGAGGUGGAAGUGUGGCGACACAUGGAGCUGACAGAUACUAAUCGAUCGAGGACUUAACC
This 1565-nucleotide ribosomal RNA is filed under the name metagenome. Its description in RNAcentral is "bacterial LSU rRNA". It matches the Rfam family "Bacterial large subunit ribosomal RNA", at positions 1363 to 2925 of the family's 2925-position model. The record is from RNAcentral.